GACGAACGCUGGCGGCGUGGAUUAGGCAUGCAAGUCGAACGGUAUCAUCCUUUCGGGGGUGAGAGAGUGGCGAACUGGUGAGUAACACGUAGGUUAUCUACCCUCAAGACGGGGACAACCCAGGGAAACUUGGGCUAAUACCGGAUGUGAGCAACUUUUAGUUGUUUGAAAGGUGGCGUAAGCUGUCGCUUGGGGAUGAGCCUGCGUCCUAUUAGUUAGUUGGUGAGGUAACGGCUCACCUAGGCAAUGAUAGGUAGGCGGCCUUAACGGGUGGUCGCCCACACUGGGAUUGAGAUACGGCCCAGACUCCUACGGGAGGCAGCAGUCGAGAAUAGUCUACAAUGGUCGGAAGACUGAUAGUGCGACGCCGCGUGAACGAUGAAUCCCUUCGGGUGUAAAGUUCUUUUAUAUGUGAGCAGUGCUUCUUAUAUUAACAGUAUGGGGAGAGAGAUAUUAGCAUAUGAAUAAGCAACGGCUAACUCCGUGCCAGCAGCCGCGGUAAUCA
RNAcentral lists this ribosomal RNA (505 nucleotides) under uncultured bacterium. RNAcentral's name for it is "bacterial SSU rRNA". It matches the Rfam family "Bacterial small subunit ribosomal RNA", at positions 28 to 525 of the family's 1533-position model. The record is from RNAcentral.